AGCCUGACGGAGCAACGCCGCGUGAGGGAUGAAGGCCUCUGGGCUGUAAACCUCUUUUAUCAAGGAAGGAGAUCUGACGGUACUUGAUGAAUAGGCCACGGCUAAUUCCGUGCCAGCAGCCGCGGUAAUACGGGAGUGGCAAGCGUUAUCCGGAAUUAUUGGGCGUAAAGCGUCCGCAGGCGGUUUUACGAGUCUGUCGUUAAAACGUGGAGCUCAACUCCUUUUCGGCGAUGGAAACUGUAAGACUAGAGUGUGGUAGGGGCAGAGGGAAUUCCCGGUGUAGCGGUGAGAUGCGUAGAUAUCGGGAAGAACACCAGUGGCGAAGGCGCUCUGCUGGGCCAUAACUGACGCUCAUGGACGAAAGCCAGGGGAGCGAAAGGGAUUAGAUACCCCUGUAGUCCUGGCCGUAAACGAUGAACACUAGGUGUCGGGGGAAUCGACCCCCUCGGUGUCGUAGCCAACGCGUUAAGUGUUCCGCCUGGGGAGUACGCACGCAAGUGUGAAACUCAAAGGAAUUGACGGGGGCCCGCACAAGCGGUGGAGUAUGUGGUUUAAUUCGAUGCAACGCGAAGAACCUUACCAGGGUUUGACAUCCUGCGAAUCCCUUGGAAACUUGGGAGUGCCUUCGGGAGCGCAGUGACAGGUGGUGCAUGGCUGUCGUCAGCUCGUGUCGUGAGAUGUUGGGUUAAGUCCCGCAACGAGCGCAACCCACGUCUUUAGUUGCCAGCAUUAAGUUGGGCACUCUAGAGAGACCGCCGGUGAUAAACCGGAGGAAGGUGUGGAUGACGUCAAGUCAUCAUGCCCCUUACAUCCUGGGCUACACACGUACUACAAUGCUACGGACAAAGGGCAGCAAACUCGCGAGAGCUAGCAAAUCCCAUAAACCGUGGCUCAGUUCAGAUCGUAGGCUGCAACUCGCCUACGUGAAGGAGGAAUCGCUAGUAAUCGCAGGUCAGCAUACUGCGGUGAAUACGUUCCCGGGCCUUGUACACACCGCCCGUCACACCAUGGAAGUUGGCCACGCCCGAAGUCGUUACUCCAACCCGCAAGGGAGGAGGAUGCCGAAGGUGGGGCUGAUGACUGGGGUGAAGUCGUAACAAGGUAGCCGUACCGGAAGGUGCGGCUGGAUCACCUCCUAACAGGGAUACAAUAACUAAUUGUGAUGUCUGAGUAAUUUAUUCUCAGGCCAUGAUUCUGUCAUCUCUAAGGUCGAUCGGUACCUCAAUUUGAGAGUUCAAGAAGAGCUGAGCAAUCAGUUUAGAGAUGAACAUCUUAAUUUCAGUUCCUAAACUUUGUCUAGGUCACCCCACAGCGGGUAAAGCCGAGAGCACAAAUUUUAUUAUUUGUGUUUGAUCUGGCAAGCCGAAAGGCGAGCUAG
RNAcentral lists this small RNA (1378 nucleotides) under Synechococcus sp. TCC793. RNAcentral describes it as "bacterial SSU rRNA". The stretch from base 1 to 1139 matches the Rfam family "Bacterial small subunit ribosomal RNA", at positions 380 to 1533 of the family's 1533-position model. The record is from RNAcentral. Lineage: Bacteria; Bacillati; Cyanobacteriota; Cyanophyceae; Synechococcales; Synechococcaceae.